CGCGGAGUAGAGCAGUGGUAGCUCAUCGGGCUCAUAACCCGAAGGUCGUAGGUUCGAGUCCUGCCUCCGCCACCA
Molecule: transfer RNA, 75 nt
Filed under: Prevotella sp. CAG:873
Lineage: Bacteria; Pseudomonadati; Bacteroidota; Bacteroidia; Bacteroidales; Prevotellaceae
Also listed under: 2 other names
Description: transfer RNA-Met(CAT)
Rfam family: tRNA
About the family: Transfer RNA (tRNA) molecules are approximately 80 nucleotides in length. Their secondary structure includes four short double-helical elements and three loops (D, anti-codon, and T loops).
Source: RNAcentral